RNAcentral lists this ribosomal RNA (243 nucleotides) under uncultured Actinomycetales bacterium. RNAcentral's name for it is "partial 16S ribosomal RNA". It matches the Rfam family "Bacterial small subunit ribosomal RNA", at positions 88 to 334 of the family's 1533-position model. Lineage: Bacteria; Bacillati; Actinomycetota; Actinomycetes; Actinomycetales. The record is from RNAcentral.
UACUCGAGUGGCGAACGGGUGAGUAACACGUGGGUGAUCCGCCCUGCACUUCGGGAUAAGCUUGGGAAACUGGGUCUAAUACCGGAUAGGAGCCAUCUUUAGUGUGGUGGUUGGAAAGUUUUUUCGGUGUAGGAUGAGCUCGCGGCCUAUCAGUUUGUUGGUGGGGUAAUGGCCUACCAAGGCGGCGACGGGUAGCCGGCCUGAGAGGGUGUACGGCCACAUUGGGACUGAGAUACGGCCCAG